Molecule: non-coding RNA, 47 nt
Filed under: Trypanosoma brucei brucei
Lineage: Eukaryota; Euglenozoa; Kinetoplastea; Trypanosomatida; Trypanosomatidae
Source: RNAcentral
ACACAAUACAAAAAGAUGAGACGUGGAUCUGUAUAUGAGAAAUUAAU